GUUAUACUCCCUCUGUCCGGAAUUACUUGUCGCAAAAAUGNAUAAAAUUGGAUGUAUCUAGAACUAAAUACAUCUAGAUACAUCUAUCUCCAUGACAAGUAUUUCCAGACGGAGGGAGUAUGUU
Non-coding RNA from Hordeum vulgare subsp. vulgare (domesticated barley), 124 nucleotides. Lineage: Eukaryota; Viridiplantae; Streptophyta; Magnoliopsida; Poales; Poaceae. The record is from Rfam.